Molecule: ribosomal RNA, 733 nt
Filed under: fungal sp.
Lineage: Eukaryota; Fungi
Description: eukaryotic LSU rRNA
Rfam family: 5.8S ribosomal RNA (bases 204-357)
Source: RNAcentral
CUGCGGAAGGAUCAUUACCGAGUGCGGGUCCUUUGGGCCCAACCUCCCAUCCGUGUCUAUUAUACCCUGUUGCUUCGGCGGGCCCGCCGCUUGUCGGCCGCCGGGGGGGCGCCUUUGCCCCCCGGGCCCGUGCCCGCCGGAGACCCCAACACGAACACUGUCUGAAAGCGUGCAGUCUGAGUUGAUUGAAUGCAAUCAGUUAAAACUUUCAACAAUGGAUCUCUUGGUUCCGGCAUCGAUGAAGAACGCAGCGAAAUGCGAUAACUAAUGUGAAUUGCAGAAUUCAGUGAAUCAUCGAGUCUUUGAACGCACAUUGCGCCCCCUGGUAUUCCGGGGGGCAUGCCUGUCCGAGCGUCAUUGCUGCCCUCAAGCCCGGCUUGUGUGUUGGGUCGCCGUCCCCCUCUCCGGGGGGACGGGCCCGAAAGGCAGCGGCGGCACCGCGUCCGAUCCUCGAGCGUAUGGGGCUUUGUCACAUGCUCUGUAGGAUUGGCCGGCGCCUGCCGACGUUUUCCAACCAUUUUUUCCAGGUUGACCUCGGAUCAGGUAGGGAUACCCGCUGAACUUAAGCAUAUCAAUAAGCGGAGGAAAGAAACCAACCGGGAUUGCCUCAGUAACGGCGAGUGAAGCGGCAAGAGCUCAAAUUUGAAAGCUGGCUCCUUCGGAGUCCGCAUUGUAAUUUGCAGAGGAUGCUUUGGGUGCGGCCCCCGUCUAAGUGCCCUGGAACGGGCCGUCA